UACGUAGGGACCAAGCGUUGUUCGGAUUUACUGGGCGUAAAGGGCGCGUAGGCGGCGUGGUAAGUCACUUGUGAAAUCUCUGAGCUUAACUCAGAACGGCCAAGUGAUACUGCUGUGCUAGAGUGCAGAAGGGGCAAUCGGAAUUCUUGGUGUAGCGGUGAAAUGCGUAGAUAUCUGGAGGAACACCGGUGGCGAAGGCGGCAUUCUGGACCGAUAUUGACGCGUGAGGAGCGAAAGCGUGGGGAGCGAACAGG
Molecule: ribosomal RNA, 254 nt
Filed under: uncultured bacterium
Lineage: Bacteria
Description: partial 16S ribosomal RNA
Rfam family: Bacterial small subunit ribosomal RNA
Source: RNAcentral